UGGAAGCCCCAGGUUGGCUGAUGGCUU
RNAcentral lists this non-coding RNA (27 nucleotides) under Mus musculus (house mouse). The record is from RNAcentral. Lineage: Eukaryota; Metazoa; Chordata; Mammalia; Rodentia; Muridae.